Molecule: ribosomal RNA, 447 nt
Filed under: uncultured bacterium
Lineage: Bacteria
Description: bacterial SSU rRNA
Rfam family: Bacterial small subunit ribosomal RNA
Source: RNAcentral
UGGGGAAUUUUGGUCAAUGGACGAAAGCCUGACCCAGCAACGCCGCGUGAAGGAUGAAGUAUUUCGGUAUGUAAACUUCGUAAGAAUAGGAAGAAUAAAUGACGGUACUAUUUGUAAGGUCCGGCUAACUACGUGCCAGCAGCCGCGGUAAUACGUAGGGACCAAGCGUUGUUCGGAUUUACUGGGCGUAAAGGGCGCGUAGGCGGCGUGGUAAGUCAUCUGUGAAAUCUCCGAGCUUAACUCGGAACGGUCAGAUGAUACUGCUGUGCUAGAGUACAGAAAGGGCAAUCGGAAUUCUUGGUGUAGCGGUGAAAUGCGUAGAUAUCAAGAGGAACACCUGAGGUGAAGACGGGUUGCUGGGCUGACACUGACGCUGAGGCGCGAAAGCCAGGGGAGCAAACGGGAUUAGAUACCCUUGUAGUCCCUGAGCGGGCUGGCAAGGCGCAU